RNAcentral lists this ribosomal RNA (496 nucleotides) under uncultured bacterium. RNAcentral describes it as "partial 16S ribosomal RNA". It matches the Rfam family "Bacterial small subunit ribosomal RNA", at positions 29 to 507 of the family's 1533-position model. The record is from RNAcentral.
AUGAACGCUGGCGGCGUGCCUCAUACAUGCAAGUCGAGCGCACAGACGAGGAGCUUGCUCCUCUGACGUUAGCGGCGGACGGGUGAGUAACACGUGGAUAACCUACCUAUAAGACUGGGAUAACUUCGGGAAACCGGAGCUAAUACCGGAUAAUAUAUUGAACCGCAUGGUUCAAUAGUGAAAGACGGUUUUGCUGUCACUUAUAGAUGGAUCCGCGCCGCAUUAGCUAGUUGGUAAGGUAACGGCUUACCAAGGCAACGAUGCGUAGCCGACCUGAGAGGGUGAUCGGCCACACUGGAACUGAGACACGGUCCAGACUCCUACGGGAGGCAGCAGUAGGGAAUCUUCCGCAAUGGGCGAAAGCUUGACGGAGCAACGCCGCGUGAGUGAUGAAGGUCUUCGGAUCGUAAAACUCUGUUAUUAGGGAAGAACAAAUGUGUAAGUAACUAUGCACGUCUUGACGGUACCUAAUCAGAAAGCCACGGUUAACUACGUG